Molecule: ribosomal RNA, 341 nt
Filed under: uncultured Anoxybacillus sp.
Lineage: Bacteria; Bacillati; Bacillota; Bacilli; Caryophanales; Anoxybacillaceae
Description: bacterial SSU rRNA
Rfam family: Bacterial small subunit ribosomal RNA
Source: RNAcentral
UGCAUGGUUGUCGUCAGCUCGUGUCGUGAGAUGUUGGGUUUAAAGUCCCGCAACGAGCGCAACCCUCGACCUUAGUUGCCAGCAUUCAGUUGGGCACUCUAAGGUGACUGCCGGCUAAAAGUCGGAGGAAGGUGGGGAUGACGUCAAAUCAUCAUGCCCCUUAUGACCUGGGCUACACACGUGCUACAAUGGGCGGUACAAAGGGUCGCGAACCCGCGAGGGGGAGCCAAUCCCAAAAAGCCGCUCUCAGUUCGGAUUGCAGGCUGCAACUCGCCUGCAUGAAGCCGGAAUCGCUAGUAAUCGCGGAUCAGCAUGCCGCGGUGAAUACGUUCCCGGGCCUU